This 468-nucleotide ribosomal RNA is filed under the name uncultured bacterium. Its description in RNAcentral is "partial 16S ribosomal RNA". It matches the Rfam family "Bacterial small subunit ribosomal RNA", at positions 28 to 507 of the family's 1533-position model. The record is from RNAcentral.
GACGAACGCUGGCGGCGUGCUUAACACAUGCAAGUCGAACGGAAAGGCCCUGCUCUUGUGGGGUGCUCGAUUGGCGAACGGGUGAGUAACACGUGAGUAACCUGCCCUUGACUUUGGGAUAACUUCAGGAAACUGGGGCUAAUACCGGAUAGGAGCUCCUGCUGCACGGUGGGGGUUGGAAAGUUUCGGCGGUUCGGGAUGGACUCGCGGCUUAUCAGCUGGUUGGGGGGGUAGUGGCUUACCAAGGCUUCGACGGGUAGCCGGCCUGAGAGGGUGACCGGCCACAUUGGGCCUGCGAUACGGCCCAGACUCCUACGGGAGGCAGCGGUGGGGAAUAUUGCACAAUGGGCGGAAGCCUGAUGCAGCAACGCCGCGUGCGGGAUGACGGCCUUCGGGUUGUAAACCGCUUUCGCCUGUGACGAAGCGUGAGUGACGGUAAUGGGUAAAGAAGCACCGGCUAACUACGUG